Gavialis gangeticus (Gharial) is the source of this 121-nucleotide long non-coding RNA. RefSeq lists it as uncharacterized. NCBI's taxonomy places the organism in Eukaryota, Metazoa, Chordata, Crocodylia, Gavialidae. The transcript has 3 exons. The record is from RefSeq and is a predicted model, not a curated record.
AGGAAGACUACAGUCCAACCAGAGGCAAGGCACUCCUAGACUUGGUUCUAGCCAAAGGAGACAAUCUAGUGAGCAACCUGAGGAUCGAAGAGAAACUGGGACACAGUGGCCAUGAAACAAU